GAUGAACGCUGGCGGCGUGCCUAAUACAUGCAAGUCGAGCGAACGGACGAGAAGCUUGCUUCUCUGAUGUUAGCGGCGGACGGGUGAGUAACACGUGGAUAACCUACCUAUAAGACUGGGAUAACUUCGGGAAACCGGAGCUAAUACCGGAUAAUAUUUUGAACCGCAUGGUUCAAAAGUGAAAGACGGUCUUGCUGUCACUUAUAGAUGGAUCCGCGCUGCAUUAGCUAGUUGGUAAGGUAACGGCUUACCAAGGCAACGAUGCAUAGCCGACCGGAGAGGGGGAUCGGCCACACUGGAACUGAGACACGGUCCAGACUCCUACGGGAGGCAGCAGUAGGGAAUCUUCCGCAAUGGGCGAAAGCCUGACGGAGCAGCGCCGCGUGAGUGAUGAAGGUCUUCGGAUCGUAAAACUCUGUUAUUAGUGAAGAACAUAUGUGUAAGUAACUGUGCACAUCUUGACGGUACCUAAUCAGAAAGCCACGGCUAACUACGUG
RNAcentral lists this ribosomal RNA (497 nucleotides) under uncultured bacterium. Its description in RNAcentral is "partial 16S ribosomal RNA". It matches the Rfam family "Bacterial small subunit ribosomal RNA", at positions 28 to 507 of the family's 1533-position model. The record is from RNAcentral.